AGCGAACGCUGGCGGCAGGCUUAACACAUGCAAGUCGAGCGGGCACUUCGGGGUCAGCGGCAGACGGGUGAGUAACACGUGGGAACGUACCCUUUGGUUCGGAAUAACGCUGGGAAACUAGCGCUAAUACCGGAUACGCCCUUUUGGGGAAAGGCUUACUGCCGAAGGAUCGGCCCGCGUCUGAUUAGCUAGUUGGUGGGGUGAUGGCCUACCAAGGCGACGAUCAGUAGCUGGUCUGAGAGGAUGAUCAGCCACACUGGGACUGAGACACGGCCCAGACUCCUACGGGAGGCAGCAGUGGGGAAUAUUGGACAAUGGGCGCAAGCCUGAUCCAGCCAUGCCGCGUGAGUGAUGAAGGCCUUAGGGUUGUAAAGCUCUUUUGUCCGGGACGAUAAUGACGGUACCGGAAGAAUAAGCCCCGGCUAACUUCGUG
RNAcentral lists this ribosomal RNA (433 nucleotides) under uncultured bacterium. RNAcentral describes it as "partial 16S ribosomal RNA". It matches the Rfam family "Bacterial small subunit ribosomal RNA", at positions 29 to 507 of the family's 1533-position model. The record is from RNAcentral.